RNAcentral lists this ribosomal RNA (495 nucleotides) under uncultured bacterium. RNAcentral's name for it is "partial 16S ribosomal RNA". It matches the Rfam family "Bacterial small subunit ribosomal RNA", at positions 28 to 507 of the family's 1533-position model. The record is from RNAcentral.
GAUGAACGCUGGCGGCGUGCCUAAUACAUGCAAGUAGAACGCUGAAGGAGGAGCUUGCUCUUCUGGAUGAGUUGCGAACGGGUGAGUAACGCGUAGGUAACCUGCCUGGUAGCGGGGGAUAACUAUUGGAAACGAUAGCUAAUACCGCAUGACAACAGUUAUUGCAUGAUAACUGUUUAAAAGGGGCAACUGCUCCACUACCAGAUGGACCUGCGUUGUAUUAGCUAGUUGGUGAGGUAACGGCUCACCAAGGCGACGAUACAUAGCCGACCUGAGAGGGGGAGCGGCCAAACUGGGAGGGAGACACGGCCCAGAGGCCUACGGAGAGGAGCAGUAGGGAAUCUGGGGCAAGGGACGGAAGUCUGACCGAGCAACGCCGCGUGAGUGAAGAAUGUUGUCGGAUCGGAAAGCUCGGUUGUAAGAGAAGAACGAGUGUGAGAGUGGAAAGUUCACACUGUGACGGUAGCUGACCAGAAAGGGACGGCUAACUACGUG